GAUGAACGCUGGCGGCGUGCUUAACACAUGCAAGUCGAACGAUGAAGCCCAGCUUGCUGGGUGGAUUAGUGGCGAACGGGUGAGUAACACGUGAGUAACCUGCCCUUAACUCUGGGAUAAGCCUGGGAAACUGGGUCUAAUACCGGAUAGGAGCGUCCACCGCAUGGUGGGUGUUGGAAAGAUUUAUCGGUUCUGGAUGGACUCGCGGCCUAUCAGCUUGUUGGUGAGGUAAUGGCUCACCAAGGCGACGACGGGUAGCCGGCCUGAGAGGGUGACCGGCCACACUGGGACUGAGACACGGCCCAGACUCCUACGGGAGGCAGCAGUGGGGAAUAUUGCACAAUGGGCUCAAGCCUGAUGCAGCGACGCCGCGUGAGGGAUGACGGCCUUCGGGUUGUAAACCUCUUUCAGUAGGGAAGAAGCGAAAGUGACGGUACCUGCAGAAGAAGCACCGGCUAACUACGUG
RNAcentral lists this ribosomal RNA (466 nucleotides) under uncultured bacterium. Its description in RNAcentral is "partial 16S ribosomal RNA". It matches the Rfam family "Bacterial small subunit ribosomal RNA", at positions 28 to 507 of the family's 1533-position model. The record is from RNAcentral.